This 393-nucleotide ribosomal RNA is filed under the name Stramenopiles sp. MAST-10. RNAcentral's name for it is "partial small subunit ribosomal RNA". It matches the Rfam family "Eukaryotic small subunit ribosomal RNA", at positions 582 to 975 of the family's 1831-position model. The record is from RNAcentral.
AUUCCAGCUCCAAUAGCGUAUAUUAAAGUUGUUGCAGUUAAAAAGCUCGUAGUUGGAUUUCUGGCGGGAGCGACCGGUCGGCGCUUAACGGCGUGUGCACUGGAGUUGUCUCUUGCCAUCCUUGAGGAGAACGUGUCUGGCAUUAAGUUGUCGGGCUUGGGAUCCUCAUCGUUUACUGUGAAAAAAUUAGAGUGUUUAAAGCAGGCAUUUGCUGUGAAUACAUUAGCAUGGAAUAAUAAGAUAGGACUUUGGUGCUAUUUUGUUGGUUUGCGUACCAAGGUAAUGAUUAAUAGGGAUAGUUGGGGGUAUUCGUAUUCAAUUGUCAGAGGUGAAAUUCUUGGAUUUAUGGAAGACGAACAACUGCGAAAGCAUUUACCAAGGAUGUUUUCAUCG